CCUCUUCCUGUUCCUCAAUUCCUCCAUUCCUCCUCCUAAAACAGCUUCAAACAAAAUCAAACACUGGCAGCCACCAAGCCCAGGCGCCGACUCUCGACGCCAUCCCUAACCUUUCUUUUCAUUUUCUCUUUCAAACCGGCAGCCUCCCCUCAAACGUAUUUAAACCCAAAAACAUCCCUAUGCUGGAAACUAAUUUAUUUUGAUUGAUUUUUUUUAUUAUUUUUUCUUUUGGUACUGUUUAUUGUGCUGGUGAUUCUGUUGUGGUGUAUUUUUUUGGGUAUUACUUUGUGAUCUCUGGAGCAAAAAAGAAACGAUUUUUGGGAGUUUUAGUUGGUGGUUUCGGUCUAGACUGGUGCUUUUGGUUUUUUUCGGUUCUAAAAAACAUGGGAUCUGUUUGUGUUGAAAAUGGGGACUUCAAUGGUAGUGGCGGUAUGACGCCUGAUGAUUUUAGGGUGUGUUGUUGGAAGAAUUUGGGCUGGAAGGCAAAACAUGAGGCGAAAGUGGGAAGCCAUGCCAGAAAUAUGGAGGUACU
RNAcentral lists this long non-coding RNA (532 nucleotides) under Durio zibethinus. RNAcentral's name for it is "long non-coding RNA (DZIB_LNC000104)". Lineage: Eukaryota; Viridiplantae; Streptophyta; Magnoliopsida; Malvales; Malvaceae. The record is from RNAcentral.